GGCUGCUGAUGGGAUGCACACCGCCCCAGAGUAGCCCGAGGAGGAAAGGAACCUCAGUGAAGAAUCUUCCAUUUCCAGCUGUGAUGUCAAUUCAAAAUGAAUUCAGAAAAGAAGAGUACGAUCAGAUGGAAAAUGUGGUGGCACCUGUCCUGGCCCGACCUGCUCGCUCAGCGGGCCCAUUCUCGCUACCUGCCAGUGAGGGCCCGAUGGAAACUCUGCCUCAUCCCCAUCAAUGUUGCAUGGGUCCUGCCCCAGUGAAAGCACACACCGGGUUGGGCGGACUCCUUCGUGUCAUCAGAGCAGGCUGUCAAGCACCGCCUUUGCGUGCCAGUGCUGCUUUACAAAAUGAUGCACCUUCUUCUCUAUUAUUAAUGUCUCCAGGUUGCAGGGGCGGGGGUUAUAUAGAAAUGACACUCUACUGGCCUUUUGAGGCCCCAAAAUUAAGGUCCCUGCAUAACACCGGUUGUGAGGUGUCCAGCCCCUGCCUUGCACCCCCAGCAUUCUGCAGGUUGCUAAAGGAGAAGAAAGACUUAUUUGCUGAGCCUCAGAAAAUGUACUGGAAAGGAAUUUGUUAUGGUGAUAGGGCGGAGGUAGCAUGACAGGAGACACUGGGGUUCAACGGGUGUCCUCAAAUGCUUUUGGAAUGCUUCUAUGCCAUCAGAGCUCAGCCCUGAAGCCUGACAUCUCCACCAUCAGUCCACCAACUCAGUGAAACUUUUUUUUCAACACAAUAAUGGGGACACUGUUGCUGAGCAACUACUGUUAAUAGCCACAUGAGAAGUGGUCCUCAUACACCUUACAGCUUCCACCCUUGAGAUGGAGAGCUGUUCAAACUACAACAUUUUAAAGAAAACAUGACAAUAACAUGGACAGAACAUAAGAAGAAUGGAUCACACAACAAUAGCAUGGUCCGUGGUCCAGCCAUGAUCAAGUUCAUACUCAGAGAUCCUGUGUAAGUGAAGGUCAGAGUCCAUGAGAAGGCAUGAAAGUUACAAUACAAGUAAAACUAUUUACAAAAUGACUACAUUGGGUGAUCAUUUGCACUGGCCAGUUUUCCAGUGACAUCAUCCCUUUUGUCUUCACUGGAAACUCCACCUCUUCUUCAAUCCCUCUGUUAAAUGAUUAAGAAGGACAUUGAGUGAUCCAAUGGAACCAUUACUUGCACAAGGGCAGCGAGCUCACACAGGUGGAGUUAGGACAUCACAGAAUCCUUUAUGAAGAUCAAAGCUUGUCCCCUGUUCACUGAGUCACCAAAGUCCACUGGUUAACUUUCUUCUUCAGAAUGUACAAAUACCCAUUAACAACUCUGAGCUGUGUACAUAGCUUUACAAUUAAUCCCUGCUGUUUCAAAGCUCUAAUGCAGUAUUUUGUACAAAAAUCAAACCAUUUAGGUGCAAUAAAAAAGGUUUUUAAGGACA
RNAcentral lists this long non-coding RNA (1418 nucleotides) under Scleropages formosus (Asian bonytongue). Its description in RNAcentral is "lncRNA (ENSSFOG00015026388.1)". Lineage: Eukaryota; Metazoa; Chordata; Actinopteri; Osteoglossiformes; Osteoglossidae. The record is from RNAcentral.